This 213-nucleotide ribosomal RNA is filed under the name Triticum aestivum (bread wheat). RNAcentral describes it as "partial small subunit ribosomal RNA". The record is from RNAcentral. Lineage: Eukaryota; Viridiplantae; Streptophyta; Magnoliopsida; Poales; Poaceae.
AUGUAUCCAGUGGCAUGGGCAGUUGUUGAGAGGGAAACUAAUGAUACAUGGAAGUGGUUCAUUGCCCUGCUUAUUAAAGAUCUUGAGAUUAAUGACAAUGGAGCUGGCUGGGUGUUCAUUUCAGAUCAGCAGAAGGGACUGAUAAAUGCAAUGAAGGAUUAUUUGCCAAAUGCAGAGCACAGAAUGUGUGCUAGGCAUAUCUAUGCCAACUAG